RNAcentral lists this ribosomal RNA (253 nucleotides) under uncultured bacterium. RNAcentral describes it as "partial 16S ribosomal RNA". It matches the Rfam family "Bacterial small subunit ribosomal RNA", at positions 524 to 776 of the family's 1533-position model. The record is from RNAcentral.
GACAGAGGCCUCGAGCGUUAGGCGGAAUCACUGGGCUUAAAGCGUGUGUAGGCGGAUCGUUAAGUACCUUGUGAAAUCCCACGGCUCAACCGUGGAACGGCUGGGUAUACUGGCGGUCUUGGGCCAUUCAGGGGCGACUGGAACAAGCGGUGGAGCGGUGAAAUGCGCAGAUAUCAGGAGGAACACCGGUGGCGAAGGCGGAUCUCUGGGCCUGUCCUGACGCUGAGGCGCGAAAGCUAGGGGAGCGAACAGG